CCUACGGGGGGCAGCAGUGAGGAAUAUUGGUCAAUGGACGAGAGUCUGAACCAGCCAAGUAGCGUGAAGGAUGACUGCCCUAUGGGUUGUAAACUUCUUUUAUAUGGGAAUAAAAUGUUCCACGUGUGGGAUUUUGUAUGUACCAUAUGAAUAAGGAUCGGCUAACUCCGUGCCAGCAGCCGCGGUAAUACGGAGGAUCCGAGCGUUAUCCGGAUUUAUUGGGUUUAAAGGGAGCGUAGGUGGAUUGUUAAGUCAGUUGUGAAAGUUUGCGGCUCAACCGUAAAAUUGCAGUUGAAGCUGGCAGUCUUGAGUACAGUAGAGGUGGGCGGAAUUCGUGGUGUAGCGGUGAAAUGCUUAGAUAUCACGAAGAACUCCGAUUGCGAAGGCAGUUCACUGGACUGCAACUGACACUGAGGCUCGAAAGUGUGGGUAUCAAACAGGAUUAGAUACCCUUGUAGUC
RNAcentral lists this ribosomal RNA (460 nucleotides) under uncultured bacterium. RNAcentral describes it as "partial 16S ribosomal RNA". It matches the Rfam family "Bacterial small subunit ribosomal RNA", at positions 338 to 795 of the family's 1533-position model. The record is from RNAcentral.